GUACACGCUGUGACUAGUAUAUCAAUAAGCGGAGGAAAAGAAACUAACAAGGAUUCCCCUAGUAACGGCGAGUGAAGCGGGAAGAGCUCAAAUUUGAAAUCUUAAAGGGUUUCCCUUUACGAAUUGUAGUUUAAAGAAGUGUUUUCUGUUGAGGUUUUGGUAAAAGUUCUUUGGAAUAGGACAUCAUAGAGGGUGAGAAUCCCGUAUUUGACCUUUACUUUCAACUUUGUGAUACACUUUCAAAGAGUCGGAUUGUUUGGGAAUGCAGUCCAAAAUGGGUGGUAAAUUUCAUCUAAAGCUAAAUAUUGGCGAGAGACCGAUAGCGAACAAGUACCGUGAGGGAAAGAUGAAAAGAACUUUGAAAAGAGAGUUAAACAGUACGUGAAAUUGUCAAAAGGGAAGCGUUUGACACCAGUGUUGUUUUUCUGAAAAUCAAUUGAAGAACUGUUUAUGCUAAGCUGUUUAGACUUUAUCAGCUAACUGUUUAGUUUUGAGCUUUUCUUUAAUGCACUUUUCAGUUAACAAGUCAACAUCAAUUUCUUUUGCUGUAAAAAAGCUUGAGGAAGGUGGCUUGAGAUUCGUCUUAAGUGUUUAUAGCCUCUUGCCUAUGCAGUCGGAGAGAUUGAGGUCUGCAGCGUAGAUCCUUCGGGGCUAAAUGCAUUUGUGCUAAGUUAUAGCAUUUUAUAGACAACUUGUUGACUAUGAUUUGUCUUGUAGCUUACUCGCUUAUGUUAUUUUACCUACGCUUAGGAUGUUGACACACGCGCGUGCUCG
Molecule: ribosomal RNA, 774 nt
Filed under: uncultured Neocallimastigales
Lineage: Eukaryota; Fungi; Neocallimastigomycota; Neocallimastigomycetes; Neocallimastigales
Description: partial large subunit ribosomal RNA
Rfam family: Eukaryotic large subunit ribosomal RNA
Source: RNAcentral